This 567-nucleotide ribosomal RNA is filed under the name uncultured bacterium. RNAcentral describes it as "bacterial SSU rRNA". It matches the Rfam family "Bacterial small subunit ribosomal RNA", at positions 479 to 1046 of the family's 1533-position model. The record is from RNAcentral.
CGUAAGAAUAAGCACCGGCUAACUACGUGCCAGCAGCCGCGGUAAUACGUAGGGUGCAAGCGUUAAUCGGAAUUACUGGGCGUAAAGCGUGCGCAGGCGGUGUUGUAAGACAGAGGUGAAAUCCCCGGGCUCAACCUGGGAACUGCCUUUGUGACUGCAACGCUAGAGUACGGCAGAGGGGGAUGGAAUUCCGCGUGUAGCAGUGAAAUGCGUAGAUAUGCGGAGGAACACCGAUGGCGAAGGCAAUCCCCUGGGCCUGUACUGACGCUCAUGCACGAAAGCGUGGGGAGCAAACAGGAUUAGAUACCCUGGUAGUCCACGCCCUAAACGAUGUCAACUGGUUGUUGGGUCUUCACUGACUCAGUAACGAAGCUAACGCGUGAAGUUGACCGCCUGGGGAGUACAGCCGCAAGGUUAAAACUCAAAGGAAUUGACGGGGACCCGCACAAGCGGUGGAUGAUGUGGUUUAAUUCGAUGCAACGCGAAAAACCUUACCCACCUUUGACAUGGCAGAAAUCCUUUAGAGAUAGAGGAGUGCUCGAAAGAGAUCUGCCCACAGUGCUGCAU